RNAcentral lists this ribosomal RNA (253 nucleotides) under uncultured bacterium. Its description in RNAcentral is "partial 16S ribosomal RNA". It matches the Rfam family "Bacterial small subunit ribosomal RNA", at positions 524 to 776 of the family's 1533-position model. The record is from RNAcentral.
UACGUAGGGACCAAGCGUUGUUCGGAUUUACUGGGCGUAAAGGGCGCGUAGGCGGCAAUUCAAGUCAUCUGUGAAAUCUCCGGGCUUAACUCGGAACGGUCAGGUGAUACUGCUUUGCUAGAGUCCGGAAGGGGCGAGUGGAAUUCCUGGUGUAGCGGUGAAAUGCGCAGAUAUCAGGAGGAACACCAAUGGCGAAGGCAGCUCGCUGGGACGUGACUGACGCUGAGACGCGAAAGCGUGGGGAGCAAACAGG